GUGCCAUGUAAGUGAUGCGCUCUGUGCACACUGGUAAAAAUCCCUGGAUACAUUAUCUACAAUUAUAGACAUGAGUUAUUUUGAAACCAAAUUUACCAUGAAUUAAUCUACUCUUUAGUAAAGGAGAUUGAGGUGUGGGAGUUAAAGGACAUGAUGACACAAGAAUGUGAAAUAUCAGGCCACUGGUGGGCAUCCUGGAAGGCAGCAGGUUAUGGUUCAAGUAGUUCAGUUCUUGCCAUUCAGUAGUAGACUUGAGUUGAAUUCCUUGGUGCUGAAUUCAGUGUGGCCCAUCUCCAGCAACCGUGGGAAUUUGGGGGAAUGACGCAGCAGAUGUUUAAUUUCUGUAGGGCAAGAGAAAAACAGAUUGAAUCCAGUCUUCUAUUUCACUCCCUAAUUACCUACAACAACCAAUAUUGGGCUGCAAUCAACUUCCGUAGCUCAGAACUCAAUCCAGUUCUCGCCUGUGGAUAGCAGGAGCCCAGCUACUUGAGCCAUCACCUGCGACCAUAUUAGCGGGAAGCUGGAGUCAGGAGCCACAGUUGUGCACUGAACUCAAGAACUUCUGCGUAGGACAUAGGUGUCCUAACUGAUGGUUAACCUCUAAGCCAACCACCCAUCCCUUAUUUUAUUUGCAUAUCACAUACAGCACACUUUGGGUAAUGUGCCUCAAUAU
Long non-coding RNA from Ochotona princeps (American pika), 673 nucleotides. RefSeq lists it as uncharacterized. The record is from RefSeq and is a predicted model, not a curated record. NCBI's taxonomy places the organism in Eukaryota, Metazoa, Chordata, Mammalia, Lagomorpha, Ochotonidae. The transcript has 4 exons.